RNAcentral lists this unclassified non-coding RNA (391 nucleotides) under soil metagenome. RNAcentral describes it as "partial contains 5.8S ribosomal RNA, internal transcribed spacer 2, and large subunit ribosomal RNA". The stretch from base 1 to 122 matches the Rfam family "5.8S ribosomal RNA", at positions 35 to 154 of the family's 154-position model. The record is from RNAcentral.
GAUGAAGAACGCAGCGAAAUGCGAUACUUGGUGUGAAUUGCAGAAUCCCGUGAACCAUCGAGUCUUUGAACGCAAGUUGCGCCCGAAGCCAUUAGGCCGAGGGCACGCCUGCCUGGGCGUCACACGUCGUUGCCCCCCCAUCUACUCCUUCGGGAUUGCGAGGGGCGGAUGAUGGCCUCCCGUGCGCCUCGUCGCGCGGUUGGCAUAAAUGCCAAGUCCUCGGCGACGCACGCCACGACAAUCGGUGGUUGCGAAACCUCGGUUGCCCGUCGUGUGCGGUCGUCGCGCAUCGAGGGCUCGAAAAAAUUGCCGGGCUCCGGCUCGGCUUUCAACGCGACCCCAGGUCAGGCGGGGUUACCCGCUGAAUUUAAGCAUAUCAAUAAGCGGAGGA